CUACGGGCGGCAGCAGUGAGGAAUUUUGCGCAAUGGGGGAAACCCUGACGCAGCAACGCCGCGUGAGUGAUGAAGGCCUUCGGGUCGUAAAGCUCUGUCAAGUGGGAAGAACCUAUCGAUAUUGAAAAUAUAUUGAUACUGACGGUACCACAAGAGGAAGCACCGGCUAACUCCGUGCCAGCAGCCGCGGUAAUACGGGGGGUGCAAGCGUUAUUCGGAAUCAUUGGGCGUAAAGGGCGCGCAGGCGGCCUGGUAAGUCAGAUGUGAAAGCCCGGGGCUCAACCCCGGAAGUGCAUUUGAAACUAUGAGGCUUGAGUAUGGGAGAGGGAAGUGGAAUUCCUGGUGUAGCGGUGAAAUGCGUAGAUAUCAGGAGGAACACCGGUGGCGAAGGCGACUUCCUGGACCAAUACUGACGCUGAGGCGCGAAGGCGUGGGGAGCAAACAGGAUUAGAUACCCCGGUAGUC
RNAcentral lists this ribosomal RNA (465 nucleotides) under uncultured bacterium. Its description in RNAcentral is "partial 16S ribosomal RNA". It matches the Rfam family "Bacterial small subunit ribosomal RNA", at positions 339 to 795 of the family's 1533-position model. The record is from RNAcentral.